This 441-nucleotide ribosomal RNA is filed under the name uncultured bacterium. Its description in RNAcentral is "partial 16S ribosomal RNA". It matches the Rfam family "Bacterial small subunit ribosomal RNA", at positions 338 to 795 of the family's 1533-position model. The record is from RNAcentral.
ACUACGGGAGGCAGCAGUGGGGGAUAUUGCACAAUGGGGGGAACCCUGAUGCAGCGACGCCGCGUGGGUGAAGGAGUAUUUCGGUAUGUAAAGCCCUAUCGGCAGGGAAGAAGCAAGACGGUACCUGACUAAGAAGCCCCGGCUAACUACGUGCCAGCAGCCGCGGUAAUACGUAGGGGGCGAGCGUUAUCCGGAUACACUGGGUGUAAAGGGAGCGUAGACGGCCAUGCAAGCCAGGGGUGAAAGGCCGGGGCCGAACCCCGGGACUGCCCUUGGAAAUGCAUGGCUGGAGUGCGGGAGGGGCAGGCGGAAUUCCUGGUGUAGCGGUGAAAUGCGUAGAUAUCAGGAGGAACACCGGCGGCGAAGGCGGCCUGCUGGACCGCGACUGACGUUGAGGCUCGAAAGCGUGGGGAGCGAACAGGAUUAGAUACCCCUGUAGUC